GACGAACGCUGGCGGCGUGCCUAAUACAUGCAAGUAGAACGCUGAAGGAGGAGCUUGCUUCUCUGGAUGAGUUGCGAACGGGUGAGUAACGCGUAGGUAACCUGCCUGGUAGCGGGGGAUAACUAUUGGAAACGAUAGCUAAUACCGCAUAAUAGCAGUUGUUGUAUGACAACUGUUUGAAAGGUGCAAUUGCACCACUACCAGAUGGACCUGCGUUGUAUUAGCUAGUUGGUGGGGUAACGGCUCACCAAGGCGACGAUACAUAGCCGACCUGAGAGGGUGAUCAGCCACACUGGGACUGAGACACGGCCCAGACUCCUACGGGAGGCAGCAGUAGGGAAUCUUCGGCAAUGGACGGAAGUCUGACCGAGCAACGCCGCGUGAGUGGAGAAGGUUUUCGGAUCGUAAAGCUCUGUUGUAAGAGAAGAACGAGUGUGAGAGUGGAAAGUUCACACUGUGACGGUAUCUUACCAGAAAGGGACGGCUAACUACGUG
RNAcentral lists this ribosomal RNA (495 nucleotides) under uncultured bacterium. RNAcentral's name for it is "partial 16S ribosomal RNA". It matches the Rfam family "Bacterial small subunit ribosomal RNA", at positions 28 to 507 of the family's 1533-position model. The record is from RNAcentral.